Molecule: long non-coding RNA, 6142 nt
Filed under: Triticum aestivum (bread wheat)
Lineage: Eukaryota; Viridiplantae; Streptophyta; Magnoliopsida; Poales; Poaceae
Description: long non-coding RNA (TAES_LNC012861)
Source: RNAcentral
CCACUUUCUAAAUCUAGCGCCAUCAGACUUCCGUGCUGUCCAGUGCUAGAAGGGUCAUAGUGUGACGAGUUCUCAAUCAAACAUUCAGUUUCCCUGCUAGGAUUCUGAAUCAAUUGUUCUCUCCAGGUGCUUCGUAUUGAUCUCAACCUCUCAGCGACCUCUCUCAUUAAUGGCCGUUCUUCCCCCCUCAUACUCAAGCAACACUUUGCCAGUUGAGCAAUUUCUUGGAGCAGCUUCGCUUCGAAGUCUAAUAUAUUCUUGUCCAAGAUGAAUUGAAGUCCAUUUUCUUUCAUUGCCAGAAGGAACGAUGAUGCAAGUUUUUUCUUUUCUCCAGCACUGUCGGAAUAAAUUGCGAACUUUAUUGUAAUCAGCUCUAGGAGCACAACUCCAAAACUAUAAACAUCACUCUUCUCUGUUAGUUGACGCUCUUGCAAGUAUUCAGGGUCAAGAUAACCUAUAGUUCCCUGUACCAUUGUCAUAAACUGUAUUUCAUCCGUAGGAAGCAUUCUUGAUGCUCCAAAAUCAGUCACUUUUGCUGUGUAGUUGUCACCUAGGAGAAUGUUUGGAGAUUUUACAUCUCCAUGAACUAUGGGAGGGGAUGCUGAUGAGUGCAGAUAUGCCAAUGCUUCUGCAGAUUCCUGAGCUAUCCUGAGACGAGUAUCCAGUGAAACGGGAAAUCUUCUGUUUUUACCAUGCAUCAGCUCGAAUAGGGUGCCGUUUGGGAUGCAUUCAUAGACCAACAUUGGGACUUCCACUUCUAAGCAACAUCCUAGAAGCUUUACCACAUUCCUGUGGUUUAUCUGUGAAAGUAUAACCAUCUCCUGCGCAAAUUCAUCUUUCUGGUCCAUGUUCAUAACCUUUGAGCGCUUUAUGGCUACCACUCUGCCGUCUUUGAGAAUACCCUUGUAAACAGUUCAUGGCCACCUCUUCCUAAUUCUCUGCUUGAGUCGAAAUUGUUCGUUGCGUUCUCUAGUUCUUCCCUUGUGAAUAUUCUCACUGUAUCAACUUGCUUUGACCUGAUUUGGUCAUAUAAUAGCAGGCCACCAUUUUGUUGGAAGAAUAUCUGCUUUUCUUUCACCAGCUUUCUCUUCUGACAUUCAAUCAGGAGUGCAGAAAUGCAGAUAAGGAGAAGUACUGCACAUGCCGAAAUACCUGCCAAGAAUAAUAUUCUUUCAGUUUUGGUUCUUGAACACGCAGGUGAGUUGUGUAUCUUUGUAUUAAAGAAGAAAGGAAGGGGUAGAAAGCCUUAAUAGUCUUAUCAUUUAGUACAUUUGAACACAUAAAUAGGUAUGCGUUUGUUCCUUAUGCGAUAUGCGAUGAUAAAAGUGGGCAUUUGAUCUGCAUGUAAGUCAAUGUAGCAUAUGCAGCUAUUAUUUAUAUGACAACCUUCAGCCUUUUGUGUUUUUUGGUUUUCUGCUGUCGUUAUCAGGAAAAUGGUAUUCAGAAAAAAUUUGUGGAAAAAUAUGAUCAUCUACGAGCUGUGCAAAAGUAAGAAAAAAAAUGAGAUAUCGAAUAAAUUGCUGUAGAAUGCAAGUUAUGAAACUUGUUGUGCAUAAAUACAUCACGAUUUUUGCUAAGUUAAAAACAUUGGGUUCAUAUGUACCAUGUUCUAAAAAUUGGCUCUAGUUAUUACUACAACUAAUACAAUGCAUGCAUGUGCAAGUAUCCAAUUUUUUUGGAGGAGAUUAUCAUCUGUGGCUUGUUGAUCCAAUGCAAAUCUGUAUACAGUUUCCAGAAUUACAAUUUUUUUUUGCAUGAGAGGUACUAUUAUUGGCUAAAUGAUAAAUUUGUGCUCGAUAUAUUUCAUUUUUUUGCUUUAUAUUAAUAUAAAUAGUGUUUUUAGUGCAAAGCUGAGUUUUUUUUUCCGGGGAAAAGUUGAGUUCUUGUUGUGAAGUACAAGCAACCAAUGACAUCCAAUUGUAAGAAACUCUGCAUUGUUUUAUGUUAUGAACUUUGUGUGUGAUCUAUUGUCACACACGGGCACUUGGCCACUAUUUAAGUAUGUAAUUUACCAUCGGUAUCUUUUAAAUUAUGCAGAAGAUUAUACUUUCUAGAAUAAAUGUUACUUUCACUAAUGCGCUAUAUCAGUUUGACUUAUCCAUGCUAUUGAGAUAUUUACUGACAUAUUUGGAACAUAUACCUGCAAACAUUUUUGUUAAUCUAGCUCUUUCUGAAACUGCAAUUGGGUCACAGGUUUUUCUCUUUGGAUCUGCACUCUGAGUCGCAGAUUUGCAUGAACAAUCGUAGUCCCCAAUUAUAUUACUGCAAAUUCCAUGGCAAGGAUACUGAUCUGGGAAAUUGCACUCGUUUAUAUCUGCACACAUAAUUCAAGAACAGAGAAAUAGCUUGAGAUGGAUGCAGAGAUAACUUGAGGUGAACCCAAAAGAAGGAAGUGAGUUACCAACCUUGGCAUCCUUCUUCCAGGUAUGGAUUGCCUGCAAAACCAUUGUUGCAGGUGCAGAGAUAUCCUGUAGCAUUUGGUGACGUGAUGCACCGGCUAUUCUUGCUAAUGCAGGCAUACGUUGACAUGUUCUUCACGGCUUCAUUGCAGUAUUCAUUUCCAGCAACCCAGUCAAGCAGAGUGGGUACUCCAUCCUUGAACUUCUCUUUGAGUUUAUUAUCCUCUAGAUAAGAAGCCUCAAACCUGAACCAAUCCUGCUCGGCGACAAAAGCAUAGCUGCAUGGGUUGAAGCCACUCACCUCAGAAUUGUCGAAUCUGUCAUCGAAUGUUACAUUGGAGAAAUUGAGGUUUGGCGCAAUAGAUGUCUGGCAACAGCCCAUUCCAGAGCACUGACCACUUUCAUCCACACUUCGCCUGUCUGCGCACAUCGAGAAACACCCAGCUCCCACUCUGUGCUCGUUAAAGCCUCCCAGGAAUGCAAGGGUGUUGCAUCCAACCGCUGUUAAUUUGUUUGCCUUGGUUGAUAUUGUAAAAAACUUACCCGUAUUUAACCAGGCCCAUCCCCCUGUCUCGUUGAAGCACUUGGAUGCAAUCAAGGUGGUGACUCGGGCCUGCCCUCCUAGCAGACUGAUGUUGUAGAUCUUUAUUCUGCUGCUUGAGUUAUGCCUGUAAACACUGUUGUUCUCGCAUGAAACAUCGAACCCUUCGCGGAAGCAACCUUCACCGAUGCCGAAGGGGUAUGGGAUGGUGAGGUUGCCACAUGUUUCUUGGCACCCAGGCUUUGCCAUCCUGGAUGCUGUGCUGCUCUUGAUGCUUGCUAGCAUCAGGCUGGCUGCAAAGAUUAGGCAUGGUAGGGCUGCUGCCAUCUCUUUGUGUAUUUCUGCCUCCUUUUCUGCCUGUCCUAUGAUUCAGCUCCCUUUCUCUAACUUGGCUAUGCUUAUAUAACGAAAUGGAUGUGGACUAAUUGAUCUUUCAUGUUUUUUUCCCAAUCAGAGUGUAGACUAGGUCAGAAGUGGUUUGGGGUUUGAACUAGCCUUCUUUCAGUCAUAAAAAUAGCUUGCUUGUCUGCUCUGCAAUCCAAACAUGAGACCGCUAAUUAAUUGGCAGUUUCUUUUAUCUUUUGAGAGAGGGAGGGAGGGAGGCAGGCCACUUUUACGAACCCACCUUUUGUAUUUCUUUAUCAAAUUAUGCAUGGAAAUUGUUGAGCAUAAUUGGUUUGGUGCCAAAAAUUGGCAUGCCAAUGUUUGGUAUUGUGCCAAAUAUUGGGUACUGCUUGGUUGGUUACCGAGUUGUCUUGACUAUCUCACAUAAAAUUGCCAAUAGUUGGCAAGUCCUGGUGCAAACCAAUCAUGCUCGUUGUCUACAACUUGGAGUAUUAACUUUUACACUACUUUUUAACAAAAUAAAGUUUCAAACUGGUCAUGAUCACAGCUUGCCAGAGUGCUGAAAUUAGUUUAAUAUUAAGGCAGAAAAGCAAGUAUGUCUCUUAUAUGAGGCACGCAUUUAGAUGCUAGACACAAAGCGCCUUGCCCAGAUUUAAUAGAAAGCCAAAAGAAGGUUCAGGUGAAACUGGGGCAUCGUUUACAUAUUGGCCGAUAUGGUGGUUAUAGCAGUGCAAUUUCCCCCUUCUAUAUCCCUUGCUUGGCGGAUUGGCCUUUUCUGAAAGCAACUCCCCACCUACCAUAGAAGACCGGGCCAUCAGAUUUUUGCUGCGUCAACGUACUCCAUUUGGCUUAAUCUCACCAUGCUUAUUUGAUGAAAUGUCACAUCCACAACUAGCCUUCUAUGAAACGGAAGUAGCCGGUGCAGAUUAUAGUGGCAAUUGGUAGGUCCCAGGCGACCUUGGACACACAUAUAACUGGGGAGACUCUUCUAUCCUGGCUGCAAUAUAUGAAAUGUCUCGUUGGCGUAUUUACCUUCAAACACUGUAACGCAUUGUCACCAGUAACUAGCAGCAGCUAAUUUAAAACUUAACCUUAUGUUGCCUUGCCACAGGUGAUUGAGCCGGGAAGUGACCCAGGUUCCUUGAUGUGAUCAGGGCGACUUUGAAUCCAUGGCCAGGUCAAGUCAUUAAAGAGAAUCUUUCAAAAGGGACAAGGAGAUAUGCACAUCCUGCUCGAUGAAAGUGAAGGUGAACUCGUUCGUGUCAUGGCAUUGAAUGAGACUGGUAAAGGGGGUAAGCUUGCUCUGUGAAUACCUUGGACUAGUUCUGCUGUCUUGAUCGACUCCGCCGCGAGAACAGAUUUGCACCACAGGUUCGUCCCUGAAUUACGCUUGACCAAACUUGUGUUCUUCUGUGCUAUGCAUUGUGGUGUGGACUAGUUUGUAACAGGGGAACUUACCAGCUCAGCUAAGAAAUGUCUCUGACAAGUCGCUAUUGAGUUAGUUUAUAUAUAAGUAAAAAAAGGGAAAAGGAAAUACCUGUAUUUUUAGAGGGUGUACCCAGUGCUGAAAGACCUGUUUUUUUUAAGGAAUUAGCAAAAACACAGCACAAUUCAUGUGCUGUAUCUCAUCAGGUCCAUAAACUUGUACCAAUCUGUGACAAAUUCUGUGCUGUAAUAUCAAGAAAUUCUGGCUUCCAUGUGUACCAUACAUAUACCUUAGCCUGAGGUGUAAUUUUUUCUAAGUUAGAGGUGUUCUUGAGGUCAUCGGUAUAUUGUAGUAUCUUUGUUCAUGGAGAAUAGUGUAAUAGUGGAAGCGGGUAAGUUCGUGCUAAUUACUUGAGUCAUAGGAAAAAUCCAAAAUGAAAAUAUCUUUUCCCUUCUUGGUACAAAUUAAAAAAAGAAUUAAUGCCUCUAUGUUUGCAACUGGUAUGUGAGAUAGUGGAAGCGGGUAAGUUUCUGCUUAAUAAAUGCGCACAGGCUCGAGUUUGAAUUUAUCAACGUAGUUUCCCCCUACUUUUUCCUGCUUAUUGGUAAGUACUAUCCACUGUCGGUGCAAUGAAUCUCAUAUGAAAAUUUGUUACUGAUAAUUACUCUACUUUCAAUUCGAGCCUAGUUUUAAGCGUUGGCAAGUUUUUGCACCCUUCACUGCUUUGGGGUUCGAUUUGCAUUCACUUCUAAAAUACCUGUAAUGUAUGAUCAACAACUUCCAUGGUGUAAAAUAGGCAACGCUAUAGCAUCUAUUUGUUUUUUUACUGGAAAACUGUAGGGGAGGCUCUGACAGUAAUAUAUUGUCAAAUAGAGUAAAAGGUAUACAAGAUAUAUACAGGAGUUGCAUAUCAGAGGUUAUACAGAAGGAACUAUAUUCAGUGGAUACAAGCACAUGCUAGGAAGGUGAUGGUAAAAAAAAAGUUAACACAAUUUAGCAACUCUUUGUUGUUAACAUACUGGAAUUACUUGAAAUCAUGGUACAUAGAAGUUUGCUAUUCAUGCAAGGAGGUUUGUUACAAUUAAAAACAAAAUGACACAUUUUUGCAUGACAUUUAUGGCACGAAAUAGUAAAUUCAAUCUCUGCUACAAUCUGUGAUUUCAUAAGCAAUUUAUCAUCUACCACUUUCCAGAUCUAGCGCCAUCAGACUUCCGUGCUGUCCAGUGCUAGAAGGGUCAUAGUGUGACGAGUUCUCAAGCAAACAUUCAGUUUCCCUGCUAGGAUUCUGAAUCAAUUGUUCUCUCCAGGUGCUUCGUAUUGAUCUCAACCUCUCAGCGACAUCUCUCAUUAAUGGCCGUUCUUCCCCCCUCAUACUCAAGCAACACUUUGCCAGUUGAGCAAUUUCUUGGAGCAGCUCCGCUUCGAAGUCUA